Molecule: unclassified non-coding RNA, 307 nt
Filed under: fungal sp.
Lineage: Eukaryota; Fungi
Description: partial internal transcribed spacer region
Rfam family: Eukaryotic small subunit ribosomal RNA (bases 1-46)
Source: RNAcentral
AAGUCGUAACAAGGUUUCCGUAGGUGAACCUGCGGAAGGAUCAUUAUUGUAUCUUUCUCAACCAGCGCUUAAUUGCGCGGUUGGAAACCCAUUCACACAUUGUUUUUGUUAAUUUCUUUGCAUUCAGUAACAGCUAGGCUAGUGGUAAAUGGGGGGCAACCUCCUUUUACUAUUGAUGCUGAUACUGUUCUGAACACGAGGAGAUUCAUUACUAAACUCCUUUACGGAAUGUUUUUUAACAAAUAUUGUCAUUGAAAUUAAAAAUUCAAAACUUUUAAAACUUUCAGCAACGGAUCUCUUGGUUCUC